RNAcentral lists this ribosomal RNA (2133 nucleotides) under Salmonella enterica subsp. enterica serovar Newport. RNAcentral describes it as "partial 23S ribosomal RNA". It matches the Rfam family "Bacterial large subunit ribosomal RNA", at positions 711 to 2824 of the family's 2925-position model. The record is from RNAcentral. Lineage: Bacteria; Pseudomonadati; Pseudomonadota; Gammaproteobacteria; Enterobacterales; Enterobacteriaceae.
AGACCCGAAACCCGGUGAUCUAGCCAUGGGCAGGUUGAAGGUUGGGUAACACUAACUGGAGGACCGAACCGACUAAUGUUGAAAAAUUAGCGGAUGACCUGUGGCUGGGGGUGAAAGGCCAAUCAAACCGGGAGAUAGCUGGUUCUCCCCGAAAGCUAUUUAGGUAGCGCCUCGUGAAUUCAUCUCCGGGGGUAGAGCACUGUUUCGGCUAGGGGGCCAUCCCGGCUUACCAACCCGAUGCAAACUGCGAAUACCGGAGAAUGUUAUCACGGGAGACACACGGCGGGUGCUAACGUCCGUCGUGAAGAGGGAAACAACCCAGACCGCCAGCUAAGGUCCCAAAGUCAUGGUUAAGUGGGAAACGAUGUGGGAAGGCCCAGACAGCCAGGAUGUUGGCUUAGAAGCAGCCAUCAUUUAAAGAAAGCGUAAUAGCUCACUGGUCGAGUCGGCCUGCGCGGAAGAUGUAACGGGGCUAAACCAUGCACCGAAGCUGCGGCAGCGACACUGUGUGUUGUUGGGUAGGGGAGCGUUCUGUAAGCCUGCGAAGGUGGCCUGUGAGGGUUGCUGGAGGUAUCAGAAGUGCGAAUGCUGACAUAAGUAACGAUAAAGCGGGUGAAAAGCCCGCUCGCCGGAAGACCAAGGGUUCCUGUCCAACGUUAAUCGGGGCAGGGUGAGUCGACCCCUAAGGCGAGGCCGAAAGGCGUAGUCGAUGGGAAACGGGUUAAUAUUCCCGUACUUGGUGUUACUGCGAAGGGGGGACGGAGAAGGCUAUGUUGGCCGGGCGACGGUUGUCCCGGUUUAAGCGUGUAGGUGUGUGUUCCAGGUAAAUCCGGUUCACUUUAACACUGAGGCGUGAUGACGAGGCACUACGGUGCUGAAGCAACAAAUGCCCUGCUUCCAGGAAAAGCCUCUAAGCAUCAGGUAACAUCAAAUCGUACCCCAAACCGACACAGGUGGUCAGGUAGAGAAUACCAAGGCGCUUGAGAGAACUCGGGUGAAGGAACUAGGCAAAAUGGUGCCGUAACUUCGGGAGAAGGCACGCUGACACGUAGGUGAAGUGAUUUACUCAUGGAGCUGAAGUCAGUCGAAGAUACCAGCUGGCUGCAACUGUUUAUUAAAAACACAGCACUGUGCAAACACGAAAGUGGACGUAUACGGUGUGACGCCUGCCCGGUGCCGGAAGGUUAAUUGAUGGGGUCAGCGCAAGCGAAGCUCCUGAUCGAAGCCCCGGUAAACGGCGGCCGUAACUAUAACGGUCCUAAGGUAGCGAAAUUCCUUGUCGGGUAAGUUCCGACCUGCACGAAUGGCGUAAUGAUGGCCAGGCUGUCUCCACCCGAGACUCAGUGAAAUUGAACUCGCUGUGAAGAUGCAGUGUACCCGCGGCAAGACGGAAAGACCCCGUGAACCUUUACUAUAGCUUGACACUGAACAUUGAGCCUUGAUGUGUAGGAUAGGUGGGAGGCUUUGAAGUGUGGACGCCAGUCUGCAUGGAGCCGACCUUGAAAUACCACCCUUUAAUGUUUGAUGUUCUAACGUGGACCCGUAAUCCGGGUUGCGGACAGUGUCUGGUGGGUAGUUUGACUGGGGCGGUCUCCUCCUAAAGAGUAACGGAGGAGCACGAAGGUUGGCUAAUCCUGGUCGGACAUCAGGAGGUUAGUGCAAUGGCAUAAGCCAGCUUGACUGCGAGCGUGACGGCGCGAGCAGGUGCGAAAGCAGGUCAUAGUGAUCCGGUGGUUCUGAAUGGAAGGGCCAUCGCUCAACGGAUAAAAGGUACUCCGGGGAUAACAGGCUGAUACCGCCCAAGAGUUCAUAUCGACGGCGGUGUUUGGCACCUCGAUGUCGGCUCAUCACAUCCUGGGGCUGAAGUAGGUCCCAAGGGUAUGGCUGUUCGCCAUUUAAAGUGGUACGCGAGCUGGGUUUAGAACGUCGUGAGACAGUUCGGUCCCUAUCUGCCGUGGGCGCUGGAGAACUGAGGGGGGCUGCUCCUAGUACGAGAGGACCGGAGUGGACGCAUCACUGGUGUUCGGGUUGUCAUGCCAAUGGCACUGCCCGGUAGCUAAAUGCGGAAGAGAUAAGUGCUGAAAGCAUCUAAGCACGAAACUUGCCCCGAGAUGAGUUCUCCCUGAGACUUAG